RNAcentral lists this ribosomal RNA (256 nucleotides) under uncultured bacterium. RNAcentral describes it as "partial small subunit ribosomal RNA". It matches the Rfam family "Bacterial small subunit ribosomal RNA", at positions 26 to 285 of the family's 1533-position model. The record is from RNAcentral.
AGGACGAACGCUGGCGGCGUGCUUAACACAUGCAAGUCGAGCGGAAAGGCCCUUCGGGGUACUCGAGCGGCGAACGGGUGAGUAACACGUGAGUAACCUGCCCCUAGCUUCGGGAUAGCUCCGGGAAACCGGAAUUAAAUACCGGAUAUGACCACGGCCGACAUCGGCCACGGUGGAAAGAUUCAUCGGCUAGGGAUGGGCUCGCGGCCUAUCAGCUUGUUGGUGGGGUAACAGCCUACCAAGGCGACGACGGGUA